RNAcentral lists this ribosomal RNA (452 nucleotides) under uncultured bacterium. Its description in RNAcentral is "bacterial SSU rRNA". It matches the Rfam family "Bacterial small subunit ribosomal RNA", at positions 29 to 524 of the family's 1533-position model. The record is from RNAcentral.
AGCGAACGCUGGCGGCAGGCUUAACACAUGCAAGUCGAGCGGGCGUAGCAAUACGUCAGCGGCAGACGGGUGAGUAACGCGUGGGAACGUACCUUUUGGUUCGGAACAACCCAGGGAAACUUGGGCUAAUACCGGAUAAGCCCUUACGGGGAAAGAUUUAUCGCCGAAAGAUCGGCCCGCGUCUGAUUAGCUAGUUGGUGAGGUAACGGCUCACCAAGGCGACGAUCAGUAGCUGGUCUGAGAGGAUGAUCAGCCACAUUGGGACUGAGACACGGCCCAAACUCCUACGGGAGGCAGCAGUGGGGAAUAUUGGACAAUGGGCGCAAGCCUGAUCCAGCCAUGCCGCGUGAGUGAUGAAGGCCCUAGGGUUGUAAAGCUCUUUUGUGCGGGAAGAUAAUGACGGUACCGCAAGAAUAAGCCCCGCCUAACUUCGUGCCAGCCGCCGCUGUAAU